This 305-nucleotide ribosomal RNA is filed under the name uncultured bacterium. RNAcentral's name for it is "bacterial SSU rRNA". It matches the Rfam family "Bacterial small subunit ribosomal RNA", at positions 333 to 636 of the family's 1533-position model. The record is from RNAcentral.
UGAUCCCUACGGGGCGCAGCAGUGAGGAAUAUUGGUCAAUGGUCGGGAGACUGAACCAGCCAAGCCGCGUGAGGGAUGAAGGUACAGAGUAUCGUAAACCUCUUUUGUCGGGGAACAAAGGCGGGGACGCGUCCCCGGAUGAGUGUACCUGAAGAAAAAGCAUCGGCUAACUCCGUGCCAGCAGCCGCGGUAAUACGGAGGAUGCGAGCGUUAUCCGGAUUUAUUGGGUUUAAAGGGUGCGCAGGCGGUCUGUUAAGUCAGCGGGCAAAGCCCGGGGCUCAACCCCGGCCCGCCGUUGCAACUGG